GGGCCUGUCUUCUAGCGGAAGGAUGCUGUCCUCGCACGGCGGCGACACGGGUUCGAAUCCCGUCUGGUCCACCA
Molecule: transfer RNA, 74 nt
Filed under: Kofleriaceae bacterium
Lineage: Bacteria; Pseudomonadati; Myxococcota; Haliangiales; Kofleriaceae
Description: tRNA-Ala
Rfam family: tRNA
About the family: Transfer RNA (tRNA) molecules are approximately 80 nucleotides in length. Their secondary structure includes four short double-helical elements and three loops (D, anti-codon, and T loops).
Source: RNAcentral